This is a small nuclear RNA of Lutra lutra (Eurasian river otter), 137 nucleotides long. RefSeq annotates it as U4 spliceosomal RNA. NCBI's taxonomy places the organism in Eukaryota, Metazoa, Chordata, Mammalia, Carnivora, Mustelidae. The record is from RefSeq and is a predicted model, not a curated record. The transcript has a single exon.
AGCUUUGUGCAGUGGCAGUAUCGUAGCCAAUGAGGUUUAUCCGAGGUGCGAUUAUUGCUAAUUAAAGAUAAGGUGCUUUUCCCUUGGCUUCUUUCAAUAUAUAUAUAUUUUAUUUUUCAUAGCCUUUUGUUUGAAAA